UACGUAGGGACCAAGCGUUGUUCGGAAUUACUGGGCGUAAAGCGUGCGCAGGCGGUGAUGUAAGACAGGUGUGAAAUCCCCGGGCUUAACCUGGGAACUGCAUUUGUGACUGCAUCGCUGGAGUGCGGCAGAGGGGGAUGGAAUUCCGCGUGUAGCAGUGAAAUGCGUAGAUAUGCGGAGGAACACCGAUGGCGAAGGCAAUCCCCUGGGCCUGCACUGACGCUCAUGCACGAAAGCGUGGGGAGCAAACAGG
Molecule: ribosomal RNA, 253 nt
Filed under: uncultured bacterium
Lineage: Bacteria
Description: partial 16S ribosomal RNA
Rfam family: Bacterial small subunit ribosomal RNA
Source: RNAcentral